RNAcentral lists this ribosomal RNA (427 nucleotides) under uncultured Actinomycetes bacterium. RNAcentral's name for it is "bacterial SSU rRNA". It matches the Rfam family "Bacterial small subunit ribosomal RNA", at positions 353 to 772 of the family's 1533-position model. Lineage: Bacteria; Bacillati; Actinomycetota; Actinomycetes. The record is from RNAcentral.
AGUGGGGAAUCUUGCGCAAUGCGCGAAAGCGUGACGCAGCAACGCCGCGUGGGGGAAGAAGGCCUUCGGGUUGUAAACCCCUUUCAGUUGGGACGAAGCUUCGCCGGUGAAUAGCCGGCUGGAGUGACGGUACCUUCACAAGAAGCCCCGGCUAACUACGUGCCAGCAGCCGCGGUAAUACGUAGGGGGCUAGCGUUGUCCGGAAUCAUUGGGCGUAAAGAGCGUGUAGGCGGCCCGGUAAGUCCGCUGUGAAAGUCGGGGGCUCAACCCUCGAAAGCCGGUGGAUACUGUCGGGCUAGAGUACGGAAGAGGCGAGUGGAAUUCCUGGUGUAGCGGUGAAAUGCGCAGAUAUCAGGAGGAACACCGAUUGCGAAGGCAGCUCGCUGGGACGUUACUGACGCUGAGACGCGAAAGCGUGGGGAGCAAA